GAUGAACGCUGGCGGCGUGCUUAACACAUGCAAGUCGAACGGAAAGGCCCUUCCUUUGUGGGGUGCUCGAGUGGCGAACGGGUGAGUAACACGUGGGUAACCUGCCCUUGACUUUGGGAUAACUUCAGGAAACUGGGGCUAAUACCGGAUAGGAGCUCCUGCUGCAUGGUGUGGGUUGGAGUGUUUCGGCGGUUGGGGAUGGACUCGCGGCUUAUCAGCUUGUUGGUGGGGUAGUGGCUUACCAAGGCUUUGACGGGUAGCCGGCCUGAGAGGGUGAACGGCCACAUUGGGACUGAGAUACGGCCCAGACUCCUACGGGAGGCAGCAGUGGGGAAUAUUGCACAAUGGGCGGAAGCCUGAUGCAGCAACGCCGCGUGCGGGAUGACGGCCUUCGGGUUGUAAACCGCUUUCGCCUGUGACGAAGCGUGAGUGACGGUAACGGGUAAAGAAGCACCGGCUAACUACGUG
RNAcentral lists this ribosomal RNA (468 nucleotides) under uncultured bacterium. RNAcentral describes it as "partial 16S ribosomal RNA". It matches the Rfam family "Bacterial small subunit ribosomal RNA", at positions 28 to 507 of the family's 1533-position model. The record is from RNAcentral.